This 73-nucleotide transfer RNA is filed under the name Streptomyces sp. PKU-MA01144. RNAcentral's name for it is "tRNA-Ser". Lineage: Bacteria; Bacillati; Actinomycetota; Actinomycetes; Kitasatosporales; Streptomycetaceae. The record is from RNAcentral.
GGCCGAGUAGAUCCGGCCGGUCUUGAAAACCGUCGUGGCAGCGAUGUCACCGUGGGUUCAAAUCCCACACCCA